GACGAACGCUGGCGGCGUGCUUAACACAUGCAAGUCGAACGGAAAGGCCCUGCUUUUGUGGGGUGCUCGAGUGGCGAACGGGUGAGUAACACGUGAGUAACCUGCCCUUGACUUUGGGAUAACUUCAGGAAACUGGGGCUAAUACCGGCUAGGAGCUCCUGCUGCAUGGUGGGGGUUGGAAAGUUUCGGCGGUUGGGGAUGGACUCGCGGCUUAUCAGCUAGUUGGUAGGGUAGUGGACUACCAAGGCGAUGACGGGUAGCCGGUCUGAGAGGAUGACCAGCCACACUGGGACGGAGACACGGCGCAGACUCCUACGGGAGGCAGCAGGGGGGAAUAUUGGACAAUGGGCGAAAGCCUGAUCCAGCAAUGCCGCGUGAGUGAUGAAGGCCUUAGGGUUGUAAAGCUCUUUUACCCGGGAUGAUAAUGACAGUACCGGGAGAAUAAGCUACGGCUAACUCCGUG
Molecule: ribosomal RNA, 463 nt
Filed under: uncultured bacterium
Lineage: Bacteria
Description: partial 16S ribosomal RNA
Rfam family: Bacterial small subunit ribosomal RNA
Source: RNAcentral